UAGAGACUCAGAGCUGCAUAUCAAUAAGCGGAGGAAAAGAAACUAACAAGGAUUCCCUUAGUAACGGCGAGUGAAGCGGGAAGAGCUCAAAUUUGAAAUCUUCAAGGUUCUACCUUGACGAAUUGUAGUUUAUAGAAGUGUUUUCUGUUAGUAGAGUGGCAAAAGUUCUUUGGAAUAGGACAUCAUAGAGGGUGAGAAUCCCGUAUUUGGUCAUUCUUUCUAGCUUUGUGAUACACUUUCAAAGAGUCGGAUUGUUUGGGAAUGCAGUCCAAAAUGGGUGGUAAAUUUCAUCUAAAGCUAAAUAUUGGCGAGAGACCGAUAGCGGACAAGUACCGUGAGGGAAAGAUGAAAAGAACUUUGAAAAGAGAGUUAAACAGUACGUGAAAUUGUCAAAAGGGAAGCGUUUGACACCAGUGUUGUUUUUCCGAAAAUCAAUUACGAAUGUUUUAGUUUUUGAGAAGUUAUGACUUCAUCGGCUUGCUUCUCUCUUUAUGAAACUUUCUUAAUGCACUUUUCGGUUAACAAGUCAACAUCAAUUUCUUUUGUUGUAAAAGGGUAUGAGGAAGGUGGCUUUCUUUUCGGAGAAAGUGUUUAUAGCCUUGUACCUCUGCAAUCGGAGAGAUUGAGGUCUGCAGCGUAGGAUCCUUCGGGGUUAGAUACAUCUGUGCUAAGUUAUAGCUUUUCAUAGACAACUUGUUGACUAUGUUUAGUCUUGUAGCUUACUCAGCUUACUGCUAUUUUACCUACGCUUAGGAUGUUGAAGAUAUGCGCGACACG
RNAcentral lists this ribosomal RNA (777 nucleotides) under uncultured Neocallimastigales. Its description in RNAcentral is "partial large subunit ribosomal RNA". It matches the Rfam family "Eukaryotic large subunit ribosomal RNA", at positions 23 to 644 of the family's 3401-position model. Lineage: Eukaryota; Fungi; Neocallimastigomycota; Neocallimastigomycetes; Neocallimastigales. The record is from RNAcentral.